Molecule: small nuclear RNA, 157 nt
Organism: Ochotona curzoniae (black-lipped pika)
Lineage: Eukaryota; Metazoa; Chordata; Mammalia; Lagomorpha; Ochotonidae
Product: U1 spliceosomal RNA
Exons: 1
Source: RefSeq, a predicted model, not a curated record
CUACUUAGCUGGUAUGGGAGUACCAUGAUCCCGAAGGUGGUUUUCCAGGGCGAGGCUCACACAUGGCACUCCGGGUGUGCUGACCCCUGCGGUUUCCCCAAAUAUGGGAAACUCAAAUGCAUAAUUUGUGGUAGUCGGGGACUGCGUUCACGCUAAA